Molecule: small nucleolar RNA, 127 nt
Organism: Mastomys coucha (southern multimammate mouse)
Lineage: Eukaryota; Metazoa; Chordata; Mammalia; Rodentia; Muridae
Product: small nucleolar RNA SNORA17
Exons: 1
Source: RefSeq, a predicted model, not a curated record
CCUGCUCCUAGAGGCACUGCAGGUGUGGCUGCUUUGUUACAAGUGCAUCACUAGGGGCAGAGGAGAGAGACUGUCUACACUCAGUAUUCUGACCUAUGGACAUCUGAAAGAUUAGUAGCCUAACUCA